Molecule: ribosomal RNA, 821 nt
Filed under: uncultured bacterium
Lineage: Bacteria
Description: bacterial SSU rRNA
Rfam family: Bacterial small subunit ribosomal RNA
Source: RNAcentral
AGAGUUUGAUCAUGGCUCAGAUUGAACGCUGGCGGCAGGCCUAACACAUGCAAGUCGAGCGGUAGAGAGAAGCUUGCUUCUCUUGAGAGCGGCGGACGGGUGAGUAAUGCCUAGGAAUCUGCCUGGUAGUGGGGGAUAACGUUCGGAAACGGACGCUAAUACCGCAUACGUCCUACGGGAGAAAGCAGGGGACCUUCGGGCCUUGCGCUAUCAGAUGAGCCUAGGUCGGAUUAGCUAGUUGGUGAGGUAAUGGCUCACCAAGGCGACGAUCCGUAACUGGUCUGAGAGGAUGAUCAGUCACACUGGAACUGAGACACGGUCCAGACUCCUACGGGAGGCAGCAGUGGGGAAUAUUGGACAAUGGGCGAAAGCCUGAUCCAGCCAUGCCGCGUGUGUGAAGAAGGUCUUCGGAUUGUAAAGCACUUUAAGUUGGGAGGAAGGGCAGUUACCUAAUACGUGAUUGUUUUGACGUUACCGACAGAAUAAGCACCGGCUAACUCUGUGCCAGCAGCCGCGGUAAUACAGAGGGUGCAAGCGUUAAUCGGAAUUACUGGGCGUAAAGCGCGCGUAGGUGGUUUGUUAAGUUGGAUGUGAAAUCCCCGGGCUCAACCUGGGAACUGCAUUCAAAACUGACUGACUAGAGUAUGGUAGAGGGUGGGUGGAAUUUCCUGUGUAGCGGUGAAAUGCGUAGAUAUAGGAAGGAACACCAGUGGCGAAAGCGACCACCUGGACUGAUACUGACACUGAGUGCGAAGCGUGGGGAGCAACAGGAUUAGUACCCUGGUAGUCCACGCCGUAACGAUGUCAACUAGCCGUUGGGA